UAGGUGGCAGCGGCGGCGGGACGAUCGAGCAGUUCUGGUCGCUGUUGGAUAGCAGACCGGCGCUUCGCCCGCGUGCACGUCUUCUACCACGCCGUCCUCGACCGUGGCUAUUUCCUCGCCGACGUCGCCGAUCAUCUCUUCACCCCCACCAAGCGCCUCCGCUACCUCGCCAGGUUCCUCCUCGUCGCGCUUCUACUCACCAGGCGCGCCGACACUGUCCCUCGCCUCGCCACCCACAUCUGCACGCUCCUCGACGGCUCCAAGAAGACCCUCCAAGAAGCCGAAUAUAAGGAGUGGAAGCAUGUCGUCCAAGAAAUGGAGAAGAUGCGGCCGGCGACGACGACGGCGGCGGAAAUGGAGAAGAGCGGCCAUCGGCCAUCUCUCUCUUGCGUGCGCUCGCCGAGAGUCAGAGACUACAGAUCAGAACAACAACAGGGGGCAACCAGAUCUACAAGCUGUUGUGCAAUGAACAGAACCUUCAUCUCCAACAAUGGAAGGAAUGGUUUGCAGCUUCAGAUCUACAUCUACAUCUACCACAAUGCCAAGGCAAAGCUUGAAUUUUUCUCCACAUUUCAGAACAGCAAGCCAACACACAAUGAUUCAAAACCAAGAACAGCAGGAGUGAACCAAGCAGGAAGAGGCAAUAUUUGA
Molecule: long non-coding RNA, 651 nt
Filed under: Oryza sativa aus subgroup
Lineage: Eukaryota; Viridiplantae; Streptophyta; Magnoliopsida; Poales; Poaceae
Description: lncRNA OsNaBo_12g0015790
Source: RNAcentral